GAGAGCAACUGCUCUGCAGCAGCCUCGCUCCCGCGAUAACUUAAGGUCAUGUGACAUCAGAUGCAGAGCAGAAACCACUCCCAUCCAGGUCAUCGUGGACACAUUUUAACCAGCAUGCAUCACGAUUUAUGCAGCGCUGCGCAGCGCUGCGCAGCACUGCGUGAUCUUGAACUCGCCUAAUAUGUAAUGAGGCGCGCGUUGAUUGGCCGCAGGAAGGACAGAGCCGGAAUCGGGGGCUAGCCUGCAUGCACACAGACUCCAAAACAUAAACAGCCCCCUGUCAUGGCGCACACACUAAAUGACGAACCUUACAAUUCAGGCAUUUAUGUACGAGCCGGAUUCGGAACCCGAACGGGAGAGUGAAGAGGCAGAGACGGUGGAAGAGACACGUUUACAGCAGGAUGUCUCUGAAUGGAUGAAGGGUGUUAUGAUCUUUCUGGUGUUGAUGCUGGUCGUCAUCAUGGUUGAUGCUGAGGAGAGUCGUCCUCAAAAUGAUGGUGUCCGCCUGCCGCCCCGGCGCAUAGCCAUACCUGGACUGUAUAUCAGAUUUGGAGCAUCUCAAGAUGAAGUGGCCAACGAUAAACUGAGGCGAUACUAUGAAAACUGAGUCUGUUCUUGAUUUUGAAGAUAUAGUUUGAGCUAUAUCUUUGUGCUUUGCAAAGCAAGAAAUAAUUGGAUGUGUAAACAUGAAGCUCUUGAGAUGUAGUGAUUUUAGUCACAGCUACAACUGAUAGUGAAAACUAUCCUGUUGAAUAAAGCUGCAUUCCAAAAGACCGUCUGUGUGUUGUGGUGUUAUUUAAGUGAACAUAUGUUUGUAAUUUUACUGGUGAUGAUGAUCAAGAACAUUGUUUUUCAUCAAUUCGGAGGUCAAUGUUUAUAUUAAGUAGAUCUAAAUAAUAAGUGUGUUGGUGUGAUCAGUUUAUUGAAUAAACUCUCUUCCUAUUAACUAAUAAAUCUAAAUGUUGAUGAUGUCAUUUGACAGAAAACUAUUUCAAAAAUGAAGCGAAAUAGGUGAGCAGGUGGUCGAGUGGUUAGAGCGCAUGCUACAUACGCAGCUGACCUCGGUUCGAUUCCGGCCAGAGGUCCUUUGCUGCAUGUCAUAUC
Molecule: long non-coding RNA, 1104 nt
Filed under: Sparus aurata (gilthead seabream)
Lineage: Eukaryota; Metazoa; Chordata; Actinopteri; Spariformes; Sparidae
Description: lncRNA (ENSSAUG00010015690.1)
Source: RNAcentral